RNAcentral lists this long non-coding RNA (6737 nucleotides) under Ricinus communis (castor bean). Its description in RNAcentral is "long non-coding RNA (RCOM_LNC003244)". The record is from RNAcentral. Lineage: Eukaryota; Viridiplantae; Streptophyta; Magnoliopsida; Malpighiales; Euphorbiaceae.
AGGAUUAAGAAAAAAAAAUCAUAUUUCAAUGUAAAAUAAUUCCUCCUCAAACAUUCAAAGUGUUGAACCCUACAAAUACAUACAACUUAGCUUAGCUUAAAUUAUUGUACAGAAACACAUAAGGUAGUAGAGAAACUCCCUCAUCAUAAGAACAUAACCACAAGGCUCCUUUCUCCGGAUUGCUCACUGAGAUCAUUGGAAUGCUAGAAGAACUCUUUGCAAGUCUAGAUAAACGACAAUUGUUGUUUCCAAAAAAAAGCAAGAAAAAAUCACAAAACAUAUAAUUACUGAGUCAAAAAUAUCAAAACCACAAGCGAAACUAAUAAAGCUAGCAUCACUUAUCAUUCUCCUAACAAAUUGAUCGAAAGAAACAGGAUAGCAACAAAAAAACUUACUAAAAUUUAAACUUUUUGUUUUAAGCUGAAAUUAGAAGUAAAAAGUUAGGCACCAAUAAGAGUUCUUCCUCAAUAUCUAACCAUACGUCCCUAGAAAAACAAUAGGUUGAAAUAUCAGUUAAACGUGCAAAGCCUAACAUUCAUUUCCAUAAAUGUCGAACCACAUGUACAUGACCAAACCACACGUAUGUUAUCAAGGUUCCUUCCCAUAAGUAGUACUUCAUAGUUGAUUUUCAUGUGACAGAAAAGAAAAGGUGAAAUCAAUGGUUUUUUAAGUUUUAAAACCAAAAGAAAUAUUUUUUGUUAUCCCUAGGAAAGAAAGGAACAGUCAUAGUCAAGUUUAUUCAAAUGUACCCAAAUUUAAAAAUUACAAUCAAGGCCUUGAGAAGCGAAGCACAUAGUGACAAAAGCCACUUAUCACUUCUCCACAAGCUGGUAGAGACCAAGAGAUGAACAAAAACCAAUGCACAGGGCUCCUCAAUAUCAUAAUGCAAUUAAUUAAAUCACAAAAUUAUAAAACGGAACCAAUUUUUCAAUGAUGGCAGCCACAUCUCCACAAGCUAGUGGGAUCUCAGAAAAGCCAAUACUCAAAAUUCACUACUACUUAAGAGUAUUAAUUAAAUAAAAGAUUAUGGAUAAUGACAUCCAAAAUAGCUUAUUUUCCAAUCUUUAACCUACAACCUGAUGAGAGAAAGGGACUUCUGGGAAGUAAGGAACCAAAUGAAUUAAAAACCCCAUAACUUCCCUCGAUCAAUCUAAUUUAAUCAUAUUCAAAAUAGAAAACCCAUUAUUUAAAGAAAAAAGAACUCCCUCAUGAUUAGUGCUCUAUGACAACACUGGCUGGAGUUAAUACCUGAAAGAUGUGGUAAGAAGAUCUCAGCCUUCCAUAGUUCCAAAUCAGUCGGGAUUAAAAAAAAAAAAGAAUUAUAUUUCAAUGUAAAAUAAUACUUCCUCAAACAUUCAAAGUGUUGAACCCUACAAAUACAUACAACUUAGCUAGCUUAAAUUAUUAUACAUUCUUUAGUAAGAAUAUUAGGAGUUAAUACUGUUGACUAAAACAGAAACACAUAAGGGAGUAUAGAAACUCCCUCAUCAUAAGAACAUAACCGCAAUGCUAUCAAGGUUCCAUAAAUGUCGAACCACAUGUGCAUGACCAAACCACACGUAUGUUAUCAAGGUUCCUUCCCAUAAGUAGUACUUCGUAGUUGAUUUUCAUGUGACAGAAAAGAAAAGGUGAAAUCAAUGGUUUUUUAGGUUUUAAAACCAAAAGCAAUAUUUUUUGUUAUCCCUGGGAAAGAAACAUAAAUUAUUUGUUUGAUGGUCUACUGCAUCCAAAUAUUUAACCUAGAAUAACAGAUAUCAGCUAUAACAGAGAAACAAUAUAUACAAUCCUAUGGAGGCUAAAAACAGAUAAAAGGUGCAACACUUCCACAUUUACCUGCAUAUUUCCAAUUAAAUGGGCAAAAAGAACCAGACCCGAGAUAGCAAUAAGUGUAGCAAAUGCAGUUUCCAAACCCUGGCUGAUGGAACUGAAAAUAUAAAAAGCAAAAAACAUCUGUUAAAAGGUUAUAAUAAACCUUCACACAACACUUUUUACCACUACUCACGCAUUCUACGCGGAUGAAGUAUAUAAGUUUGGAAUAGAGCUAUUUUAUGUUGCAAAAAAAAAAAGUGAUUAUAAAUUUAUGAGUCAUGAAGAUAAUCAUAUGUUUAGUCUUUGCAUGAGUACGGAGGAGGGGGACCAAAAGCUUCAAUUAAUUUCCAAGCAUUGAUUCAAAUAGCAAAUAAAGAUGAUAAAGUUUCAUCUGUCAUCACUUGUAAUGGAAUUUAACUUUUUUGGUACUUUCAUAAAUUUGUACCUCACUUUUUUGGAUCACAGCCAUUAAACACCUGAGUAUUGUUUCCUCAUAGUUUGCUUUCAUCUUUAUUCAAAGUACCACAAUCCAAAUAAGAGAGACUGCACUUUCAUGUCUAUAAGCAUACUUGCAGUACGUCACCUGACGCUCAAUUGACAACAGAUACCACGAGGCUCCUAAGACCUACAAGAUCAGAAGGCUAAUCAUUGCAAGACUGCUAAGAGUAGAAUACUAUUCAGACCCAAUAGCAUUUUUAUACAGAAGUAGACAAAAUAGUAAUGCUAAAUCAUCUAAAAUAGAAGAAUGAUAGCCUGUCAUGCUCCAACUGAAGAAUUAAGAAUACUGGAAAACAGAAUUUAGGGAGAGUCUUGCCCUUAGUAUUUUCACAUAAAGUGGUUGUUGCUCUUAAAACUGUUCCUCUACCCUUGAGCAAGACUUCUACCAUUGCAGCAUGCAAUGGCCCAGCUAUUAACAAAAUAUUAGCAUACAAAAUUUGACUUGAGAUUACAUACAUGAUUAGCCAACAUGUAGAGCAGGAGGUUAUAGGCAGCCCCAGCCUAAGCAGUCUUUGUGACUAUUCCAGUGGCUUUGAUGAUCUCAGAAUCGUGGAAAUUACUGGAGAAGAGCAAUCAGUAGAAGAGCAUUGUUGGUAUGAUCAGAAUAGAGCCUCUAAUUGCCAGAACAAUAAACCAUGUCACAAUCUGCAAAAAAUAUGCUUACGAUUCAAAUUCUGUGAAUUAAAAGAGGCUAAUAAUACACAAGCUCCACAUACGAGGAUCCAAAAUAAAAACCUGUGCACAAGCCUGCAACUAAUUUUUUAAAGAAAGGAACAGUCAUAGUCAAGUUUAUUCAAAUGUACCCAAAUUUGAGAAUUGCAAUCAAGGCCUUGAGAAGCGAAGCACAUAGUGACAAAAGCCACUUAUCACUUCUCCAUAAGCUGGUAGAGACUAAGAAAUGAACAAAAACCAAUGCACAGGGCUCCUCAAUAUCAUAAUGCAAUUAAUUAAAUCACAAAAUUAUAAAACGGAACCAAUUUUUCAAUGAUGGCAGCCAUAUCUCCACAAGCUAGUGGGAUCUCAGAAAAGCCAAUACUCAAAAUUCACUACUACUUAAGAGUAUUAAUUAAAUAAAAGAUUAUGGAUAAUGACAUCCAAAAUAGCUUAUUUUUCAAUCUUUAACCUACAACCUGAUGAGAGAAAGGGACUUCUGGGAAGUAAGGAACCAAAUGAAUUAGAAACCCCAUAACUUCCCUCGAUCAAUCUAAUAUAAUCAUAUUCAAAAUAGAAAACCCAUUAUUCAAAGAAAAAAGAACUCCCUCAUGAUUAGUGCUCUAUGACAACACUAGUUGGAGUUAAUACCUGAAAGAUGUGGUAAGAAGAUCUCAGCCUUCCAUAGUUCCAAAUCAGUCAGGAUUAAAAAAAAAAAAAAGAAUUAUAUUUUAAUGUAAAAUAAUACUUCCUCAAACAUUCAAAGUGUUGAACCCUACAAAUACAUACAACUUAGCUAGCUUAAAUUAUUGUACAUUCUCUAGUAAGAAUAUUAGGAGUUAAUACUGUUGACUAAAACAGAAACACAUAAGGAGGUAUAGAAACUCCCUCAUCAUAAGAACAUAACCGCAAGGCUCCUUUCUCCGGAUUGCUCACUGAGAUUAUUGGAAUGCUAGAAGAACUCUUUUCAAGUCUAGAUAAACGACAACUGUUGUUGCCAAAAAAAGCAAGAAGAAAUCACAAAACAUAUAAUUACUGAGUCAAAAAUAUCAAAACCACAAACAAAACUAAUAAAGCUAGCAUCACCUUACCAUUCUCCUAACAAAUUGAUCAAAAGAACAGGAUAGCAACCAAAAAACUUACUGAAAUUUAAACUUUUUGUUUUAAGCUGAAAUUAGAAGUAAAAAGUUAGGCACCAAUGAGAGUUCUUCCUGAAUAUCUAACCAUACGUCCCUAGAAAAACAAUGGUUUGAAAUAUCAGUUAAACGUGCAAAGCCUGACAUUCAUUUCUAUAAAUGUCGAACCACAUGUACAUGACCAAACCAGACCUAUGUUAUCAAGGUUCCUUCCCAUAAAUGUCUGUCCAUAAAAAGACGAGUUGGGUAAGAAGAAACUUUUUAUUCUCAACCAGACCUAAUUGGCAGACACAGACCAAAACUAAUGAUCAAGAUGACUGGCUAACUUUAAUCUAUCUACUUAACAAACAUAUUUUAAAAAACGAUUAGCUAAAAAGAAAAGACUCCGAACAGAUACUUGACAAUCAACCCACUAAAUGGAUUUUCAAAAUAAGAAGGAAAACAGAGAAAGGUGCAAACACUGAGAUUCAAUUAUUUUGUUUUCUGAUCUAAUCUUUGUGUUCAAAACGCCAAAAAAAGGAUUGGCAAGAUUAAAACUCCCUACAGAAAGAUUAUCACUAAAAUCUUAUUGUUAUACCCAAUAAGAUUAUUAAAUACAUUUUACCCAUAAUAUUUAAGAUGCAAAGCAAAGCAGAAUUAUCGAAUAGAAAUAAAAAGUGAAAUAAUUUACCAUUUUGGUACUUGAGGCUCUUUUUCCCUUCUCUCAGUUGGAUGCUUUCUUGAUUGAAUUUAUUUAGAGCUUCUAUAACUAAAAAAGAGUGCAAAAAUAGCUCUACUCCCAGUAAAAAAGAAAUGAAAACAUAUGAUAUAAAUAAAUAAACCACAGGCAAUCGCUUUCUUGUUCUUACUAAAGUGUCCAACAACAUAAAUACAAAAAAAAAUCACAUAAAAAUUUGCAGCUAGCUAACCUUCAAAAUUAGCAUCAUUAUACUACAAUUGACCUAGGCUGGAGAGCGGACAAGGUAGCCAAUGUGUGCUAAAAUGCCAUGAUGCAUAGCAUGUAAUACAGAAGACGACAUAGCCAAUAUAUGCCAAAAUGCCAAAAGAAUUUAAAAGAAAAAGUAUUAGCAAACAUUUUAGUAAAAUAUAAGAUAAUUAUUUUAUAUUUUUAUUUAAACUGGGUCAAUUGGAAUAUUAAAUAUAUUUCACCUAUAAUAUUCAAGGCGCAAAGCAAAGCAAAAUUAUCGAAUACAAAUAAGAAGUAGAGUAAUUUACCAUUGUGGCACUUGAGGCUCUUUUUCACUUCUCUCAAUUGGAUGCUUUUAUGAUUGGAUUUAUUUGCUAUAACCCAAAAAGAAUAUUGAUCAAAACUAUAGAGUUGAACUGCAGGAAGAUGGAGAAAGGAAAGUCAAACCAAGUGUACAGCCAAUAUGUGUACCUUUAGAAGAUUCUGACUAUUGAUCAAAGCUACAAAGCAUUUCCAAAAACAACUCAAUCUUAGAGUAAUUGUAAAAGGUUAAACAGAUUCCACAAAGGGUGAUGCAGAAUAAAGAAGACAAAAUUAAGCAAAUGCAUGCAAUUUUACUUCCUGAUUUCACUCAUCCCAAGUCGAUCAUGAAACAAAUUUUAGAUUGAAACAAGAAGCUAUUAAAAUAUAGAUCAAGAUCAAGCCACAGGAACUUCAUUUCCUUCUUUGGCACACAGUAAUUUAUGGAGUACAAGAUUAGAACUUCAAAACAAGAAAAGUAUAUUUUUCUGUUAGAAAGUUAUCACUAUUCACCUUAUAUCUCUCUUUAAAAAGUUAUCACUAUUCACCUUAUAUCUCUCUUUUAAAAAGUUAUCACUAUUCACCUUCUUUUAAGUCACGUAUCAUAAAUAUUAAGAAAAGCUAGCAUUGAAAAUAAGAAGCUAUGUACGUAACAAGAACCAAAUGAAAUUAGGAGAAAGUUUGACCCUGGCCAAAAAUGCCCAACCAAAAACUAAAACCCAAAUCCUGCAAGGAAGAAAAUACAGAGAGAGUAAACUAGAACCAAAUUGAAUAAUUAAACUUAAUCCAGCUACAACUAUCUAAACAUCAGCAAUAUCAUAAUUAAGUAGAGACACAAAAACCAAAAGCACAAAACAUUGAAAGCCAAUCACUAGAGCAAUCACCCAAAAUAAUAUACUAAUGUCUAUUAGCAAUGCAAUAAAACUACAGUUUUGCGACAAUGGAAGACAUAAGAUCAGUAGGUAGUAGCAUAAAGAGCUCAGCCUUCCAUAGUUCCAAAUCAGUCAGGAUUAAGAAAAAAAAAAAAGAAUCAUAUUUCAACGUAAAAUAAUACUUAACAAUCAAAAUGUUGAACCCUACAAAUACAUACAACUUAACUAGCUUAAAUUAUUGUACAUCUAUUAGGAGUUAAUACUGUUGACUAAAACAGAAACACAUAAGGUAGUAGAGAAACUCCCUCAUCAUAAGAACAUAACCACAAGGCUCCUUUCUCCGGAUUGCUCACUGAGAUUAUUGGAAUGCUAGAAGAACUCUUUUCAAGUCUAUAUAAACGACAGCUGUUGUUUACAAAAAAAGCAAGAAGAAAUCACAAAACAUAUAAUUACUGAGUCAAAAAUAUCAAAACCACAAACGAAACUAAUAAAGCUAGCAUCACCUCACCAUUCUCCUAACAAAUUGAUCGAAAGAAACAGCAUAGCAACCAAAAAACUUACUGA